This 7879-nucleotide long non-coding RNA is filed under the name Physcomitrium patens. Its description in RNAcentral is "long non-coding RNA (PPAT_LNC010237)". Lineage: Eukaryota; Viridiplantae; Streptophyta; Bryopsida; Funariales; Funariaceae. The record is from RNAcentral.
AGCCAAAAAUUCGUUCAAGAACUCAAGAUAUGGCUCCAAAUAUUACUAUCAAUAAAAUGACUCACUUACUGCCUUUGAAUUACAUGUGCUGUCUUCAAUGUCCUAUAACUCCUUGAUCUAGACUUGGAAUUUGUCAAACAGUAUAUGUAAAGUAUAAUCAAGAAAGUGCUUUCUCCAAUUCUAGUUGCCGAUCUUUCAUUGCUCUCUGUAUGCAUAUGUUAUAUUUUAAAGAGUGACAGUAGAUAAAAAUAUAACACCUUAACUUUGAACACCUAUAUCUCCUUUAAAAAAACUCGAAAUCACACAAACUCUUCACCCAAAUUAUAUCCAAAACCCUGAACUUUUUGAUCCUAGCCUCCAAAGUUCGAAUGAAUUCGAAAGAGAAAUCCUAAUCCCUAAUAAGACCUCGGGUAGCCUACUUGAAGCCCAUUGGGCAUGGCCUUCGACCAAUAGGAAUGAAGUUUUCCAUUCUUUGCCUUCAUCCAACCAUACCUUACUUUCAUCCCUUCCAAUAAGCCUCCUAUUAGUUAAGAUUUUCUUCUUUAGGUCCCAACCUUCUCUUAAGCUUUAUACUAAAUAUCUAAAUCCUACAUAAUAUAAAUACUAUAAUCAAAAUAGAUAAAUCUCCAAAUAAAUUUUCUUAUAUCAAUUCUCUUUAAAUUUAUUUACUAACCGCUCUAAUCUAUAUCAAGACUUAUAAAUAUAUUAUAUUUUUUAAUUAAUUUUUACAUACUAUAAGCAAUUAUAGUAUGAUAUCCACCCCCUCCAAACCUACACAUCCUCCGGUAUGUGCCACGUAUUACUCCUCUUCAUCCUCUUGAGAUUUCUUUGAAUUACUCAUAGGCUCUUCUUUUUUAUCUUCUUAGUCCAAAUAUUGAGGUAAGAAUUCUUGAAGGUCUUCUAUUUGAAAUAAUCCAUCUCUUUUUUUGAAAGUCUUCACCCUCUUCUCUGCUAUUAGAAUCUUUAUGAUAGCUCCAUCUAAUUCACGUAAAGUAUAUGUAGCAUUAUCAUAGAAUAUAACCACCACAUAUGGUUGAAACCAUUUUUUUACAAAUUUCUUUAUAGUACUUUACUGAUGCUCAAGGCUGCUAUCAUAAAUUAGAACCCAGUCUCCAAUCUCUAUAGGCUUAGGCCUCAACCUAUGAGUCUUAUCAAAUCUUUCUUUAUUUUUUAAUCUUGCUUUUUGUAAUCUCUCAACUGUAAUUUGUAGGUCUUCACAUAAUCUACCCAAUUAUUGGAUUCAAAGCUCUAAUAAUCUUUCUCUGUUUAUAUCAUCUUCUCAAGAUAAAAACAUCCAUGUAGGAUAGGUUUCUUCAGUUGGCAUCAUAGGUUUUUGUCCUAAUAUUAACUCUAUAGGCAUAUAACCAAUGACAGUACUCUGAGUAGUUCUAUCAACCCAUAAAGCAAAUGAAAGCAGUUUUGGCCAUUGAAUUGACUUACCCUUACAUCCCUUAACCAAUGCAUAAAUGAUAGGAGGAUGACCCCUCUCACUCUUUCCAUUAGCUUUAGAAUUAUAAGAAGUAGUCAGCUUCAAUUGAACUCCGUACCUGUUAAAAAAUUCUCUUCCUUCAAUGACAUCCAAUUCUCCUCUAUCAGCUCUCAUUUUUCCAGUGCUACCAUAUUUGCUAAAGAUGUCUUCCAAUAUAAAUUUUCAUAUUACCUUUGUAAUCUUGGUUCUCAAAGCCCUCCCUUCAAUAUAAUUUGACAGCUCUUCUCUUGCCAAAAUCAAAUAUUUCAUACUCCAAAGUCUUAAUGGCAUAGCUACCAAAUCAAUCACCCAUUGAAAAUAUAUUGAAGGUGGAUAAGUAGGAUGUAAUCCAUCUCUGUACCUAACUUUAGAUUGUAGUUGAUAUUCUAUACAGGAGCUCACAAAGUCUUCUACAACCUUAUAUAAACUCUUCCACCAAUACCUUUCCUUGAUCUUGGUAUAUGUAGCCCAAAUUCCUCUAUGCCUUAUCCAAAUUGUAUCAUGAUAUUCUCUUAAAAUCUUAAACUUAGUUUCAAGAUCUCUUACUAUCCUCAAUAGUAUUUUAUCACCUCAUUUUGGCCUCUUCCAUAAGAAUCCAUCUCUAAGCAAAUAACCAUAGGAUUGAUGUCUAAUAUCUUUGAAGGUUUUAUCCAUCCACCCUUCUAGUUUCUUCAUUGUGCUUAAAUAAAUUCUAAUAUCCUUCAACUUGCCUUUAUACAAACCUUCAUAGAACUUUUGAACCUUAUCACCAAAAUCCAUUCUACCAGUAGCAAAUGAAUUUCCAUAAGUCUUCUCUUCUUGAUCUUCACCUCUUUCAUGUGCCAUCAUUUCUUCUUCAAAGGUAUAUUUGAUUCUAGACAACAUAUCUGCCACUAAGUUUUCUUUGCCAGUUACAUGUAUUAAAACAAGAUUUAAUGUUCUUAUGUAGGCUAUCCAUUUUGAUUUAGCAAUGUCUAGAGUAGUACAGUUAAUUAUCAUUUCAAGUAAUCGCAAACAAUCUGUUUUCAAAACCAUACUUGGUCCAAUCAAAUAAUUUCUCUCAACCUUUAAAGUGGUGAAUACUCUCCAAAACUCUCUUUUAACUUGUGGAUAAAUCCUUUGCCUCUUUGUAAGAAUCCUAGCUCCAAACCUUAUAGCAAAUCUUCUCUCUUUUACAUCAUCUUGUCCAAUAGUCCAUCCAAUUGCUAUAGGGCUUGUAUCCAUUAUUACAACCACUGGUCUUCCACAUUGAUAAUCCACUUGUCUAAGCAUAGAUGGUGAACUCAACAUCUUUUUUAGGUUUUCUAUAGCUAUUUUUUGUUUUUCUUCCCAAAAAAAAUUCUUACCUUUCCUUACUAACUUAUAUAGUGGCUCUGAGAUAUAGACAAAGAGAGUCACCUAAAUGUCAUAGAAUACACAUGCUCUUAAAAACCUUCUGACUUUUGUAACAUUUUUAUAAGCCUUCAUUCUAGAUAUAGCAUCAAUUUUAUUAGGGUUUGGUUUCCUACCAUACCUGCCAUACAUGUGUUCCACCACUAGAAUCUCAUCAAUUCCAAAGCUUGAUUUCUCCAAAGAUAAUGUGAAAUUAACUGAUUCCAAUUUCUCCAAUAUUCGAGCUACAUCUUCAAUAUGCUUCUUAACAAACUUCUUACAAUCUUCAACCUCCAUAGUCUCAUUCUUGUCUUCUUCUUUAUCUCUCUUUAUAGGUAUAUCAUCUAAAAAUGGUAUGGUUUUUUCAAAAAUAAAUUCUUUCAAUAUUUGGUUCAUAACAUUUUACAUAUGAGCCACUGAGUUGGUUGCACCUUGAGGUAAGGUAUACAUCCUCAUUAAAUCCAAAGAAGUCUUCAUAGUAGUUAAGUCCCUACUUUUUUUAGUCAAUUGAAAUUAGUCAUAUCCAAAAUAUAAGUCUCCAAUAGAAUAGAUGGCAUGACUUGUAAAUUGUUCAGCCACUUUAUCUACUACAGGACUUGAUCCCAUAUUCCAAAUAGUUACUCUAUUUGUAGGUUGCUCUUUUAGUAGUUUUAUCAACUUUUGAAGUAAAGCUCUGGGCAUAGGUAUAGGCUUUAAAUUCCAUAGAACAUGUGGCAUACUAAAAAUUACCAUAGGUACUACAACAUUAGGAUCCAUACAUCUAAUUUCAUUAGGAGUUAAGGCAAAUGCCUUACCAUGCCUAAUAAGCAUUUCUUGAAAUAUAAUUUUUUCCGUUGAUGUCAAGAAAUCACCCCCCUCCAAUCUUCAAUUUAGCCAAUGAUUCUUGAGUAAAUUGAUAUCCAAUUCUAUGUCCUUUACUUAGACUUGGCUCUUUAAUUGCUUGAUUGAUAUAUUCUAUAGUAUCAACUGGUAAUUGGGUAGGUAUAGAUUUUACCUUUCUUGCUAUAGCUUUAUAUUUAGUUUGUACUCUAGCUUCAUAUUUCAAUCCAUAGCUUGUAUCAAUUCUACCAAUUACUACUAUCUUUUCUAAUUCUUUAUAAGUCUCUUUUGAAUAUAUUUCUACUAUAGCAUUUCCAUCUAUGUUUAUAGCUAAAUUCUCUAGAACCUUUAUCAAAUCAUCUUCCAAACCUAUUUUUUCUAUUACUCCAAUUAUGGCUUCAUCACUUGAAACUAAACCCACUCUUUUUAAGUUUUUUUCUUGUUUCUUCAUCCUUCUUCUAUGUACAGAAUCUAAAUCUUUAAUCUUUUGAAUACUUACAAAUCCAUUAUUAGUCAAGUUUAAAAAUCCAAAACUCAUAUUAUCUACAAUGGGAUUUACAUAUGACUUAUUUGUAUCCAUGUGUCCCCAUUCUACAAGGGUGCUUUCUAGAAAUCCACAAAGUUUUUUCCUAGCUCCAAAGGCAUCCUUCUUAAUUGUUCUUUAUGCCUCUCAUGAAUAGAUUUCAUAGUAAUAAAUUUCACAGCUUUUCUUCUAUCCCAACUAUGAAUCCUGGCAUAAUGUGAACCAUCAUCCAAGACUCUAGUCUCCAUUCUAGCAGCUAUAAUAUAAGGUUGACCAAAUAUUAUAGGAUAUGUAGCCAAGUUUUGCACGAAGAAAUUUUGCUCCACUUCUACAUCUCCAAUUUUAAACCUUACAACUGGGCAAGCUCCGUAUAAAUUACCUUUUUGGUUGUUUGCAGCUCUAAUUAUCCAACCAUGAUUGGUAUCAAUUGGCUACUUAUUUUUCUCAUAUAUUUACCUUGACAUGAUAUUGAUUUCUGAUCUAUGAUCAACUAAGGCCAAAAUUGGAUCUUGAGUCCUCCAAUCUUACAUAUGUCUCUAUAGUAGCUCUAAUCCAAUAAGAAACUGAAUAGCUACUACUUCCCAUUCCAUCAUUAUCACAUUUAGAACAAGUAUUCAUACAUGCUUCUUCUGCAUUUUUUUUUAUCUCAAUAAUUCUCAUAGAUGCAUAUUUCAUUUGAUAUUCUUCUAUACCUUCUUCAUAUUUAUUUAAAGCCUCAUUCUUCAUAUCAACCUUAAUUCCAGCUUUUGAUAUUGUAAAUUGUGUAAAUACCUGUCUUAUCUCUUCUUCCUCAUCCAUAAUUACUUAAAUAUCUAAUGUUUCUAUCAUAAUAGCUUCAACUGUCAUUUGUCUCUUCCUCUUUAUCACAUUGAUGAUCAACUCAUGAAAAUCCUUUUUAGCUAUACCAAGAGCCUCUCUUAGAGUGAAUUCAAUUUUUGCAUCUAAGAUCUUCUCCUCUAAAAUACUCUUCAUAUCUAUAGAUGUUUCAAUGUCAGAUUGAAGUUUAUAAGUAGGAUUUUUAUCUUUAAGUUUGCUUGCAUUAUCUUUCUCCUUCUCUUUGCUCUUCUCCCACCAUUCUUUUGGUAAUAGUGCACCACCAGGAUGAGUGGAAGAAGGUAGUUUAUCCAAUUUUUGCUCUUUAAAAGCUUCUUUGUUUCUUAGAGACCUCCUCUUAUUUUCAAGCUCAAUAACAUCCUCUUCAUGAAUAGCUCUAUCUCUUUUUUUUUCAACCAUGGCAUCAUGUAAAUCAUCAUCAUAUUUGACUCCACAUAAAUAUGUUUUAAUACUAAUAGCAUCAAAUAGAUCAUUCCACUCAGUCAUUUUUUUGAUAGCUUCAACUCCUUUGAUCAUGACUUCUGUUGUUGGUAGGAAACUAGCCUUAAGUACUUUUUGUUCAACUGUAACAGAGUAAGACUCAGCUCAUUCUCCUUGUAUGGCAUUAUUCCUUGAUAUUUGCUCUUCUACUAAUUUUUUUCAUGCCACCUUUUCUAAAAAUUUUCUUUAAAGGCACAUCUGACCUUGUAAGUCUUAUCCUGCCUUCUUUGAAAUAUACAAUACCAUCCUUGAUUUUACCUUUGUAGUUGUCACAUUUACCAUGCUUAUGGUUUGGAUUGUCUCACCACAUACAUCUCUUUACAAAUCCGUUUGAGCCUUCAAUUGUCUUUGAUGAAUUUGCUAUUUAGGAUUUCUUCAACUCAGUCAUUUCCACCUUCAAAUCUUUUAUGUCUUUGAUCAAUUCUUCAAGAGUACCAUCCUUAACAGUCUUCAUCAUCUUUUGAGGUGGUCCUUGAUUCUGAGAUGUAGGCACUAGUUCCAAUCUUGAUAUUAAACCACGAGUCUUAAUUUUUUCUAUUAUUUAGCCAAAAGUCCCAUUGUCUCUUUUACUAGCUUCCAAUUAUUUGUAAAACCACUCUUAGAUGUCUUAUCUACUAGAUAAAAGAGAAGCUUGUCUUCCAAAUAUUCAUGAGCUGCUUGUAAAAAUAAUCUAGUUUUUCUCGUAUCAAAAAGCUUCCUUUCUUGCCAUGGUAAUUACCCAAACUUGAUCUCAAAUUCCCUGAUUAAUUCAUUUGGAGCCAAUUGAUUCCCUCGCCUUUGCUCAAUCCACUUCAAAAAAGUCUAUUUUGUCAUUCUUUUUGAAUCUUCUUCAAAAAAUUCAUCUUUUAAGAGUUCUUCAAAUUUCUUCCUGCACAUAGUUUCAAUAUGUAAUUCUUGUACCUUUUCUCUGAUUUUUGAUACCACUGCCAAAUCAAAGGUGGUAAUCAUCUUCAUUUCUGAAACCUGAUGCACCUCCAUUUCACAUGUAUAAAUGUUGAGAAACUUAGUAAUGUUCCUCCCAUCAAACCUUCCAAUUUUAUCCACCACUACUUGUAAAGCUUUGGUGGUAUUCCUAUCUUCUCCAUACACCUGUUGUCUUUCUUCUAUAAAUUAGACAAAUGCCCUAAAUAAAUCAUGGGCAUCCACCCCACCUGGUAAUGUGAACCCAGAGAUUUGGUCUCCCAUCUUAACUUGUUGAGAUAUUUAGAGCAUUAAGGCUCUCUCAGUGGAAGAACCAAUAUGUCCGGGUAGAAAGAGUUUGCCUCAAGAAAACUCUGAGCUUCUGGUUGCCACUAAAUACUCAAUCAAGUCUAAGAUAUAAAAAACUAAGUUUAUACAUAUAAUAUUUUUUCGUUUUGGGCAAUUACUUCAAAAUACAAGUCCAAGUACUAAGAAAACAUCCAAAUGAAUGAUAAAGAUCUUAAAACCUUUUAUAUCCUUAUGAGAGAUGCUUCUCGAACUUCAAUAGCUCAUAUCUCACAAUCACACCAUCCAAAAAAUCCUAAAUUUUACAUAUAGUAUUGAUAUACUUUCAAAAAAUUCUACAAAAAAAUCAACUGUAAAUUCGUUACGGAUCUUGAAAUAUUACCAAAAUCCUAACAAUAGCUUUAAACCCUAGCUAACUUAUACUUGCAUGCUAAUUUCUUUAUAUCUCACAAAAUAAGUACUUAAAUACUAUGAAACUUUGAUCUAUAGCUUUUUAACUUAAUAACUCACACUUCUGAAAAUUUUGAGCCAAAAAUUCGUUCAAGAACUCAAGAUAUGGCUCCAAAUAUUACUAUCAAUAAAAUGACUCACUUACUACCUUUGAAUUACAUGUGUUGUCUUCAAUGUCCUAUAACUCCUUCAUCUAGACUUGGAAUUUGUCAAACAGUAUAUGUAAAGUAUAAUCAAGAAAGUGCUUUCUCCAAUUCUAGUUGCCGAUCUUUCAUUGCUCUCCGUAUGCAUAUGUUAUAUUUCAAAGAGUGACAGUAGGUACAAAUAUAACACCUUAACUUUGAACACCUAUAUCUCCUUUAAAAAAACUCGAAAUCACACAAACUCUUCACUCAAAUUAUAUCCAAAACCCUGAACUUUUUGAUCCUAGCCUCCAAAGUUCGAAUGAAUUCGAAAGAGAAAUCCUAAUCCCUAAUAAGACCUCGAGUAGCCUACUUGAAGCCCAUUGGGCAUGGCCUUCGACCAAUAGGAAUGAAGUUUUCCAUUCUUUGCCUUCAUCCAACCAUACCUUACUUUCAUCCCUUCCAAUAAGCCUCCUAUUAGUUAAGAUUUUCUUCUUUAGGCCCCAACCUUCUCUUAAGCUUUAUACUAAAUAUCUAAAUCCUACAUAAUAUAAAUACUAUAAUCAAAAUAGAUAAAUCUCCAAAUAAAUUUUCUUAUAUCAAUUCUCUUUAAAUUUAUUUACUAAC